GGCAAGACCUCCUCAUCCGUCUUUUCAUGGUGGCGAAGGGGAAGCAGUGGCUAUGGAAGCAGAUCAGGAUCUGGUGUGCUUUGAGGAUGUCACUGUUCAUUUCACGGACGAGGAGUGGGCAUUGCUGCAUCCUGACCAGAGAGCUCUGCAUAAGGAGGUCAUGGAGGAGAAUCGUGGACUCCUGGAUUCUCUGGGGGAUGGUGAAAUGGAAAUUAAUAACAAGGGUGACCAA
This is a long non-coding RNA of Lacerta agilis (Sand lizard), 232 nucleotides long. RefSeq lists it as uncharacterized. The transcript is spliced from 3 exons. Lineage: Eukaryota; Metazoa; Chordata; Lepidosauria; Squamata; Lacertidae. The record is from RefSeq and is a predicted model, not a curated record.